AAUUUAUUUUAGUAAUAACACACACAUAUCGUUCGGGUAAAUCGGGGUGCCAAACGGUCGGUUUACUUGGUAUGUGGAGGCUCAAC
This 86-nucleotide small RNA is filed under the name Actinobacillus succinogenes 130Z. RNAcentral's name for it is "t44 RNA". It matches the Rfam family "t44 RNA". From Rfam's summary of the family: This family consists of a number of bacterial RNA genes of between 135 and 170 bases in length. The record is from Rfam by way of RNAcentral. Lineage: Bacteria; Pseudomonadati; Pseudomonadota; Gammaproteobacteria; Pasteurellales; Pasteurellaceae.